RNAcentral lists this ribosomal RNA (254 nucleotides) under uncultured bacterium. Its description in RNAcentral is "partial 16S ribosomal RNA". It matches the Rfam family "Bacterial small subunit ribosomal RNA", at positions 524 to 776 of the family's 1533-position model. The record is from RNAcentral.
UACGUAGGGCGCGAGCGUUGUCCGGAUUUAUUGGGCGUAAAGAGCUCGUAGGCGGCUCAGUAAGUCAGGUGUGAAACCUCCAGGCUCAACCUGGAGACGCCACCUGAUACUGCUGUGGCUAGAGUCCGGUAGGGGAGCGUGGAAUUCCUGGUGUAGCGGUGAAAUGCGCAGAUAUCAGGAGGAACACCAGCGGCGAAGGCGGCGCUCUGGGCCGGAACUGACGCUGAGGAGCGAAAGCGUGGGUAGCAAACAGG